UACGUAGGGGGCAAGCGUUGUCCGGAAUCAUUGGGCGUAAAGAGCGUGUAGGCGGCCCGGUAAGUCCGCUGUGAAAGUCCAGGGCUCAACCCUGGGAUGCCGGUGGAUACUGUCGGGCUCGAGUCCGGAAGAGGAGUGUGGAAUUCCCGGUGUAGCGGUGAAAUGCGCAGAUAUCGGGAGGAACACCAAUGGCGAAGGCAGCUCGCUGGGACGGUACUGACGCUGAGACGCGAAAGCGUGGGGAGCAAACAGG
Molecule: ribosomal RNA, 253 nt
Filed under: uncultured bacterium
Lineage: Bacteria
Description: partial 16S ribosomal RNA
Rfam family: Bacterial small subunit ribosomal RNA
Source: RNAcentral